AUUCAGGGGUAGUUAGGGGGAUGCGUUUUUUUUUACUACUUUUAAAAGUUACUGGGGCCUCAAAAUAACAAAAAAGGUCACAAAAAACAAAAAAAAAUCACAAUUUAAUGUGAAAUCACAAGGCGAUGAAAAAAAUAUUAAAGAGGAGAGAAGUCUGAGAAAAACACAGACAUGGUCGUUCCGGACGGAAAUAAAAUCACAGAGGAGAGAAUAUUAAAAGAGAAUAUUACUCCAGGACCCCCUGAGAAACUAAUCCCAUCUGGAUAGGGCUAAAGUCAGUUUGUUGCUAAUUAUGUUACUAUUAAAUGUUUUUGCCUGGAAUGCAAGAUAUAAAACACUAAUGUUACAAUUUUAUUAAUGACUUUAAGAUAAAUAGCAAUACUGAUAAUAAAUCCCUUAUAAACAAAAUAAUAAGUCAUAGACUUACAGUUGUUCUGCUAUUUGUUUUAAAGGUGAGACAGACAUACAGAAAAUUUUCGGCUGGUUUAAGCUUUUGAAGGCCAUGUUUUAGACUAUUUUUGUUGGACCUGGCAACCCUGUAUUCAGUUUAACCAGAUAUUAGCUCUGCUACUGUUAGCUUUAGCUUUAUAUUUUACUUUACUUUAUUAUUUAUUAUGUAUACAUAUUUAGCUGUAAAGUAUCCACAUUCCUUAGAAGCUUUGGAGCUUUCCCUCAAAACUAAGAAAAAGCUGCAGUGUUUUCACAGACUCUUUUCUCUUUUUGGAGGCAGUCUGAUUGGUUCCCUUCCAGGAUUCCUAUAAAACAGCUGUAUGAAAUUCAGCAACCACCGGCUGUUCUCUUUUGUACCAGAAUGACCAGAGAGGUGAAUGAUUGGAUGCAGGACACAGACUACCUUCUGCUAAUCUGAUAGUAAGUGUAGUAACUGUUAAUUAUGGUUUUAAAGUGUUUUACAACAGUCUUGCAUAGGGGUGGGAAUCACA
RNAcentral lists this long non-coding RNA (941 nucleotides) under Astyanax mexicanus (Mexican tetra). RNAcentral's name for it is "lncRNA (ENSAMXG00005023590.1)". The record is from RNAcentral. Lineage: Eukaryota; Metazoa; Chordata; Actinopteri; Characiformes; Acestrorhamphidae.